Molecule: ribosomal RNA, 578 nt
Filed under: Naganishia adeliensis
Lineage: Eukaryota; Fungi; Basidiomycota; Tremellomycetes; Filobasidiales; Filobasidiaceae
Description: LSU rRNA
Rfam family: Eukaryotic large subunit ribosomal RNA
Source: RNAcentral
GAAACUAACAAGGAUUCCCCUAGUAACGGCGAGUGAAGCGGGAAGAGCUCAAAUUUGAAAUCUGGUAGCCUUCGGUUGCCCGAGUUGUAAUCUAGAGAAGUGUUUUCCGUGCCGGCCCAUGUACAAGUCCCUUGGAACAGGGCGUCAUAGAGGGUGAGAAUCCCGUCCUUGACAUGGACCCCCGGUGCUUUGUGAUACACUUUCAACGAGUCGAGUUGUUUGGGAAUGCAGCUCAAAAUGGGUGGUGAAUUCCAUCUAAAGCUAAAUAUUGGCGAGAGACCGAUAGCGAACAAGUACCGUGAGGGAAAGAUGAAAAGCACUUUGGAAAGAGAGUUAAACAGUACGUGAAAUUGUUGAAAGGGAAACGAUUGAAGUCAGUCAUGCUCUUAGGAUUCAGCCGUUCUGCGGUGUAUUUCCUUUGAGUGGGGUCAACAUCAGUUUUGAUCGAUGGAUAAAGGCACGAGGAAGGUAGCACUCUCGGGUGAACUUAUAGCCUCGCGUCAUAUACAUUGAUUGGGACUGAGGAACGCAGCAUGCCUUUAUGGCCGGGAUUCGUCCACGUACAUGCUUAGGAUGUU